GAUCCUGCCGGAGGUCAUUGCUAUUGGAGUCCGAUUUAGCCAUGCUAGUUGCACGAGUUUAGACUCGUAGCAGAUAGCUCAGUAACACGUGGCCAAACUACCCUCUGGACGCGGAUAACCUCGGGAAACUGAGGCUAAUCCGUGAUAGCGUUCCCACGCUGGAGUGCGGGGAACGUGAAAUGUUCAGGCGCCAGAGGAUGUGGCUGCGGCCGAUUAGGUAGACGGUGGGGUAACGGCCCACCGUGCCAGUAAUCGGUACGGGUUGUGAGAGCAAGAGCCCGGAGACGGUAUCUGAGACAAGAUACCGGGCCCUACGGGGCGCAGCAGGCGCGAAACCUUUACACUGCACGAGAGUGCGAUAAGGGGACUCCGAGUGCGAGGGCAUAUAGUCCUCGCUUUUCACCACCGUAAGGUGGUGGUGGAAUAAGUGCUGGGCAAGACCGGUGCCAGCCGCCGCGGUAAUACCGGCAGCACGAGUGAUGACCGCUAUUAUUGGGCCUAAAGCGUCCGUAGCUGGCCAGGCAAGUCCAUCGGGAAAUCCGCGUGCUUAACGCGCGGGCGUCCGGUGGAAACUGCGUGGCUUGGGACCGGAAGACCAGAGGGGUACGUCUGGGGUAGGAGUGAAAUCCCGUAAUCCUGGACGGACCACCGGUGGCGAAAGCGCCUCUGGAAGACGGAUCCGACGGUGAGGGACGAAAGCUCGGGUCACGAACCGGAUUAGAUACCCGGGUAGUCCGAGCUGUAAACGAUGUCUGCUAGGUGUGCCACAGGCUACGAGCCUGUGGUGUGCCGUAGGGAAGCCGUGAAGCAGACCGCCUGGGAAGU
RNAcentral lists this ribosomal RNA (825 nucleotides) under Natronolimnobius baerhuensis. Its description in RNAcentral is "bacterial SSU rRNA". It matches the Rfam family "Archaeal small subunit ribosomal RNA", at positions 10 to 836 of the family's 1478-position model. The record is from RNAcentral. Lineage: Archaea; Methanobacteriati; Methanobacteriota; Halobacteria; Halobacteriales; Natrialbaceae.